ACGGUUAUAAAUCAACAUAUUGAUUUAUAAGCAUGGAAAUCCCCUGAGUGAAACAACGAAUUGCUGUGUGUAGUCUUUGCCCAUCUCCAACGAUGGGCUUUUUUUUAA
Molecule: non-coding RNA, 108 nt
Filed under: Escherichia coli
Lineage: Bacteria; Pseudomonadati; Pseudomonadota; Gammaproteobacteria; Enterobacterales; Enterobacteriaceae
Description: antisense sRNA RprA
Rfam family: RprA RNA
About the family: Translational regulation of the stationary phase sigma factor RpoS is mediated by the formation of a double-stranded RNA stem-loop structure in the upstream region of the rpoS messenger RNA, occluding the translation initiation site.
Source: RNAcentral